AUGCAUGUGGUAGAGUGGUAAUAGGCUUGGUCUUUUGACCAAGAGGUAUGAGUUCAAUCCCAAUCAACCAAU
Molecule: transfer RNA, 72 nt
Filed under: Salvia splendens (bonfire salvia)
Lineage: Eukaryota; Viridiplantae; Streptophyta; Magnoliopsida; Lamiales; Lamiaceae
Description: tRNA-Lys
Source: RNAcentral